RNAcentral lists this ribosomal RNA (219 nucleotides) under Aureoumbra lagunensis. Its description in RNAcentral is "partial Bacterial large subunit ribosomal RNA". It matches the Rfam family "Bacterial large subunit ribosomal RNA", at positions 1537 to 1755 of the family's 2925-position model. Lineage: Eukaryota; Pelagophyceae; Sarcinochrysidales; Sarcinochrysidaceae. The record is from RNAcentral.
CAAAUCCGGAGUGAUUAUCGGAAGCGUGAUGACGAGUCUCUUUUGAGACGAAGUGGUUGAUACCAUGCUUCCAAGAAAAGUCCCUAAGCUUCAGGCAAAAGGAAUCCGUACCCCAAACCGACACAGGUGGGCGAGGAGAGUAUCCUAAGGCGUUUGAGAGAACUCGGGAGAAGGAACUCGGCAAAUUGGUACCGUAACUUCGGGAAAAGGUACGCCCCG